Cinara cedri is the source of this 869-nucleotide non-coding RNA. NCBI's taxonomy places the organism in Eukaryota, Metazoa, Arthropoda, Insecta, Hemiptera, Aphididae. The record is from the annotation of a GenBank genome assembly.
UUUAUAUUCAAUAAUAAGAAUAGUUAUUCUUAUAUAUAACUAUAUGUAUAGAUAAUUAAUAUUAUAUUAUUAUGACUUUUGUGUCGUAAAUUCUUUGAUGAAUGAAACUGUAUAAAACAAAUAUCUCGUUCAAAAAACAAAAAUUGGUAUCGCCACAGGAUACUACUUAAAUGUUGGGAAAAACCUAAAUAUUCGAAAAUAUCGGCUUUAACCACACUUAAAAAUUCCUAAAAUCAGAAUUUGAAUAUAUGCAAAUUUUAACCAAAAAAUGGUGUCAGCAUGCUUAGUGAAUCAUCCUUUAUAUAUAUACAAACAUCUUAGAAUGAAAACUAAAAUUGAAUGUUUAGCAUUAUAGCUGCUAGAAAAGUGUCAUCAGACACAAAAAUAAAAAUAAAAACCAGUACGUGUUGAGCAACCGACCGCGACACACGUGUAUUCUUGGUUCCUCAUGGCUAGAAAAGACCCCCCCCCCAUAUGCGAAACAUGCGGAGUGGAGUACACCGUCGAACAUAUAAUCAUUGAUUGUCUCAAAUACGCAGACUCAAGAUCCAAAUACUCCAUUCCUUACCAACUUAGUGAAGCUCUACAACCAGACCUCCAAUCAAAUACCAACAUAGUCAACUUUUUAAAGGAUACCAAACUGUACAACCUAAUUUAAGAAUUUUUAUACAAAAUGUAAUAUAUUUAAUUAAUUUUAAUUAAUGUACUAUUAUAACUAAUGGCCUCGUAGCCGAUGUUUCUUUUUUUUUUUUAAAAAAAAAAAAAAAAAAAAAACAUUUCACGGCAAGACCAAUAGAGUAGAAUAUACCUAUGUGUAUAAUAAUUUUAGUGUCACCCCCUCCCCCUAUAAAACUAAGCAAAAUACGCCC